AGCGUAGGCGGAGCCGUAAGUUGGAAGUUUAAUACCCAGGCUUAACCUGGGGCUUGCCUCCAAUACUGCGGUCCUUGAGUAUGGAAGAGGGAGAUGGAAUUCCAGGUGUAGCGGUGGAAUGCGUAGAUAUCUGGAAGAACACCGGUAGCGAAGGCGGUCUCCUGGUCCUUUACUGACGCUGAGGCUCGAAAGCUAGGGGAGCAAACAGGAUUAGAUACCCUGGUAGUCCUAGCCAUAAACUAUGGAUACUAGAUGUUGGGGGAGUCAAUUCCUUCCAGCGUCGUCGCUAACGCAUUAAGUAUCCCGCCUGGGGAGUACGCUCGCAAGGGUGAA
Molecule: ribosomal RNA, 333 nt
Filed under: uncultured bacterium
Lineage: Bacteria
Description: bacterial SSU rRNA
Rfam family: Bacterial small subunit ribosomal RNA
Source: RNAcentral